CGGCGUGCCUAACACAUGGCAAGGUCGUACGAGAAAGUUGGCUUCGGCCGAUGAGUAAAGUGGCGCACGGGUGAGUAAUGCGUGGAUAAUCUGCCCUUAGUUGGGAAUAACGUACCGAAAGGUGCGCUAAUACCUGAUAAUACUGCAUAACUACUGUUGUGUAGUCAAAGAAGGCCUCUGUUUACAAGCUUUUGCUGAAGGAUGAGUCCGCGUACCAUUAGCUGGUUGGUGGGGUAAUGGCCUACCAAGGCUACGAUGGUUAGCUGGUCUGAGAGGAUGAUCAGCCACACUGGAACUGAGACACGGUCCAGACUCCUACGGGAGGCAGCAGUGAGGAAUAUUGCGCAAUGGGGCAACCCUGACGCAGCAACGCCGCGUGAGUGAGGAAGGUUUUCGGACCGUAAAGCUCUGUCGAGCGGGAAGAAAUGUAUCAUGGCUAAUAUCCAUGAUACUUGACGGUACCGCUAAAGGAAGCACCGGCUAACUCCGUG
Molecule: ribosomal RNA, 491 nt
Filed under: uncultured bacterium
Lineage: Bacteria
Description: bacterial SSU rRNA
Rfam family: Bacterial small subunit ribosomal RNA
Source: RNAcentral